Molecule: RNA transcript, 363 nt
Organism: Enhydra lutris kenyoni (northern sea otter)
Lineage: Eukaryota; Metazoa; Chordata; Mammalia; Carnivora; Mustelidae
Gene name: apelin receptor early endogenous ligand
Exons: 3
Source: RefSeq, a predicted model, not a curated record
GUGAUCAUUAACCUUUCUGGAAAAAGCAGCUGGCCGUUGUCUGAGGCUCGUCAGUAGAAUGUGAGGGGAGCCUCACAGAUACCGCACAGACUAUUCAAGACUGGUUUACAUUGAGAGCUGUUGCUCUACUUCAGGGGGGGCAGGAAAAUGAGGUUGCAACAAUUUCUUUUUGCCUUUCUGCUUUUCGUGAUGAGUCUUCUUCUUAUCAACGGACAGAGACCAGCUAAUUUGGCUGUGAGAAGAAAAUUGCACAGACACAACUGCCUUCAGAGGAGAUGUGUGCCUCUCCAUUCACGGGUGCCCUUCCCCUGAGUGUGGACCUUCUCUAGAUAAUCGUACCUGGUCUACCAGAAGAGGAAUGAA